GGCGGACGGGUGAGUAAUGUCUGGGAAACGUGCCUGAUGGAGGGGGAGUAACUACUGGAAACGGUAGCUAAUACCGCAUAACGUCGCAAGACCAAAGAGGGGGACCUUCGGGCCUCUUGCCAUCGGAUGUGCCCAGAUGGGAUUAGCUAGUAGGUGGGGUAACGGCUCACCUAGGCGACGAUCCCUAGCUGGUCUGAGAGGAUGACCAGCCACACUGGAACUGAGACACGGUCCAGACUCCUACGGGAGGCAGCAUG
This 257-nucleotide ribosomal RNA is filed under the name uncultured bacterium. RNAcentral's name for it is "partial 16S ribosomal RNA". It matches the Rfam family "Bacterial small subunit ribosomal RNA", at positions 97 to 353 of the family's 1533-position model. The record is from RNAcentral.